CUAGUGAUGUAUGAGUUAGUGGCGGACGGGUGAGUAACGCGUGGAGAACCUGCCGUAUACUGGGGGAUAACACUUAGAAAUAGGUGCUAAUACCGCAUAAGCGCACAGCUUCGCAUGAAGCAGUGUGAAAAACUCCGGUGGUAUACGAUGGAUCCGCGUCUGAUUAGCUGGUUGGCGGGGUAACAGCCCACCAAGGCGACGAUCAGUAGCCGGCCUGAGAGGGUGAACGGCCACAUUGGGACUGAGACACGGCCCAAACUCCUACGGGAGGCAGCAGUGGGGAAUAUUGCACAAUGGGGGAAACCCUGAUGCAGCCACGCCGCGUGAGUGAAUAAGUAUUUCGGUAUGUAAAGCUCUAUCAGCAGGGAAGAAAUACUGACCUUACGGUCAGCAGACGGUACCUGACUAAGAAGCCCCGGCUAAC
Molecule: ribosomal RNA, 424 nt
Filed under: uncultured bacterium
Lineage: Bacteria
Description: bacterial SSU rRNA
Rfam family: Bacterial small subunit ribosomal RNA
Source: RNAcentral